Molecule: ribosomal RNA, 301 nt
Filed under: uncultured bacterium
Lineage: Bacteria
Description: partial 16S ribosomal RNA
Rfam family: Bacterial small subunit ribosomal RNA
Source: RNAcentral
CAGCAGCCGCGGUAAAACGGAGGGUGCAAGCGUUAAUCGGAAUUACUGGGCGUAAAGCGCACGCAGGCGGUCUGGCAAGUCAGAUGUGAAAUCCCCGGGCUUAACCUGGGAACUGCAUUUGAAACUGGCAGGCUAGAGUCUUGUAGAGGGGGGUAGAAUUCCAGGUGUAGCGGUGAAAUGCGUAGAGAUCUGGAGGAAUACCGGUGGCGAAGGCGGCCCCCUGGACAAAGACUGACGCUCAGGUGCGAAAGCGUGGGGAGCAAACAGGAUUAGAUACCCCUGUAGUCCCUGUCUCUUAUAC